This 394-nucleotide ribosomal RNA is filed under the name uncultured bacterium. RNAcentral describes it as "partial 16S ribosomal RNA". It matches the Rfam family "Bacterial small subunit ribosomal RNA", at positions 338 to 729 of the family's 1533-position model. The record is from RNAcentral.
CCUACGGGCGGCUGCAGUGAGGAAUAUUGGUCAAUGGGCGGUAGCCUGAACCAGCCAAGCAGCGUGAAGGAUGAUUGCCUUUUGGCUUUUAACCUUCUUUUUUAUGGGAAUAAAGUGGAGUAUGUAUACUGCAUUGCAGUUACCUUAUGAAUAACGACCGGCAAACCCCGUGCCAGCACCCGCGGUAAUACGGAGGAUCCGAGGGUUACCCGGAUUGAUUGGGUUUAAAGGGAGCGUAGGCGGGUUGUAAAGUCAGGUGUGAAAGUAUGCGGCCUAAACGUAAAAUUGCCAUUGAUACUGGCAUGCUGGAGUGCAGAAGAGGUAGGAGGAAUUCGUGGUGUAGCGGUGAAAUGCUUAGAUAUCACGAAGAACACCGAUUGCGAAGGCAGCCUGC